CCUCGCCCUCGCCACAAGGGUCAAAACCUACAUUGGGUUCACGGUGAACCCUAGACGGCGAAUCAGGCAACACAACGGGGAAUUGAUGUGCGGAGCGUGGAGGACCAAGCGAAAGCGACCUUGGGAAAUGGUCUUCUGCAUCUACGGCUUCCCCUCCCAUGUCUCCGCUCUUCAGCCAUUAUGCCGUCAAUGCAUGCUUGGCUCCGCUAUAUUCAGUUGAAGGAAUGCAGGUGAUCACA
Eucalyptus grandis is the source of this 239-nucleotide long non-coding RNA. RefSeq lists it as uncharacterized. The transcript is spliced from 3 exons. The record is from RefSeq and is a predicted model, not a curated record. NCBI's taxonomy places the organism in Eukaryota, Viridiplantae, Streptophyta, Magnoliopsida, Myrtales, Myrtaceae.